CCUUCGAUAGCUCAGCUGGUAGAGCGGAGGACUGUAGAGAGAUCUCAGGGAUCCUUAGGUCACUGGUUCGAUUCCGGUUCGAAGGA
Molecule: transfer RNA, 86 nt
Filed under: Xenopus tropicalis (tropical clawed frog)
Lineage: Eukaryota; Metazoa; Chordata; Amphibia; Anura; Pipidae
Description: Xenopus (Silurana) tropicalis (western clawed frog) tRNA
Rfam family: tRNA
About the family: Transfer RNA (tRNA) molecules are approximately 80 nucleotides in length.
Source: Rfam by way of RNAcentral